GAUGAAGAACGUAGCGAAAUGCGAUACUUGGUGUGAAUUGCAGAAUCCCGCGAAUCAUCGAGUCUUUGAACGCAAGUUGCGCCCGAAGCCAUUUGGUCGAGGGCACGUCUGCCUGGGUGUCACGCAUCGUUGCCCCCAACCCCAUUGCUUCUCCAAGAGACGAGGGCGGUUUGUGGGGCGGACAUUGGCCUCCCGUGAGCUUUUGAUUGCGGCUGGCCUAAAAGGGAGUCCUCGGCGACGAGCGCCACGACAAUCGGUGGUUGACAAACCCUCGUGUCCCGUCGUGCGUGCCUUGUCGCUCAUCUCGUGCUCUGUGACCCUAUAGCGUCGCGCUUGCGACUCUUCCAAUGCGACCCCAGGUCAGGCGGGACUACCCGCUGAAUUUAAGCAUAUCAAUAAGCGGAGGA
RNAcentral lists this unclassified non-coding RNA (407 nucleotides) under soil metagenome. Its description in RNAcentral is "partial contains 5.8S ribosomal RNA, internal transcribed spacer 2, and large subunit ribosomal RNA". The stretch from base 1 to 122 matches the Rfam family "5.8S ribosomal RNA", at positions 35 to 154 of the family's 154-position model. The record is from RNAcentral.